Molecule: long non-coding RNA, 1155 nt
Organism: Mesocricetus auratus (golden hamster)
Lineage: Eukaryota; Metazoa; Chordata; Mammalia; Rodentia; Cricetidae
Exons: 2
Source: RefSeq, a predicted model, not a curated record
UGUCCGACACUUGAGGAAGUAAAUGUCUGUUUGUUUAAGACACUCUGACUGUGGUGUUUGUGAUGACGGCCUGACUGGAGUGGCGUGGGAGAGUUAAGUAGCUGAAAUGGUAAAACUGUAAUGUGUGGAAUGGUUCAUGGCUGUGGAUGGUUAAACAUCCCUGUAAAACCAAUCAUAAAAUGAAUCAUGACGUUAGCUAAAUGUGCUGGGCACUUAAGUGGCAGGAAAUACCAUUACUUUAUGGGCACCAACUCAUUUACUUUUCUCUUGGUCCUAGCAGAUAAGCCUAUGACUUCAUCCUCGUCCCUGUGAAGGCACCGGGGUGCAGAGAGGUGAAGAUAAAGACCACAAAGCUAAUCACAGAGGCGGGGUGGAAGCAUGCCCUUGGGGUACAGUUUCCAUGCCCGAAACACUAUGGACUGGGUUGGACUAUGGAGAAUGCUAUGAACUAGGAGCAAAAAUGGAGGGAAAAGUGUUCUGCAGACUGAUCAGCUAGAUCAGUUCGUUAAAUCUGGGUGACCAGUGAGUGACAGAAGACGUUGAUUUCAUUGCCUUUCAGUUGCAGGGAAAGGAAAACUGAUGGUGUGAGUCUUGAUGAGGUUGAAAGAAAGAUGCUGCAAAAUCAAGAAUAGGACAUUGGGCCAAGGCUCAUGUUACCUUCAAGCUACCUCCACUUGAGAGGGUGCUUUUGGAAGAUUAUCGGAAAACCACUGAAGUGUUAAAGAAAUGUAUAGUAAAGCAUGGAUGCCAGCUCUUAAUGCAAAUUGUAAACUGUGUCCUGCUGGAGACAGAUGCUUGCUGCCCCUCUCAAAUGCUGAACAUUCAAGAACUGCACUUCCCCAGAAACCAUGGAACUGGGUGCCGUCUGUUGCCUGUGUUCUAGCCUAUUCGGCAAUAAUGGAAGCGAUGUAAGACUUUCCUAGGCCCACAAAACCCUCCCAUGCAGAAAUACACCAUGAUACUUACUCCUUUUAGCCGUCUCAUAGAGGCAGUGCCCCAGUGACUGCGUGGCUAAGUGUUGUUGAAAACAGCCAAAGCCAACUAUUACCAAUUUUGAGUCUGGGAAAGACCUAGAUAAACUGCAUUCAGCCCAUCUGUUAAUAACCCGCUACUGUUAAGUGAAUAAGAAAUAAAUUUCUGUUGUGUUUGACCCAC